This 72-nucleotide transfer RNA is filed under the name Camelus ferus (Wild Bactrian camel). It matches the Rfam family "tRNA". Rfam says of the family: Transfer RNA (tRNA) molecules are approximately 80 nucleotides in length. Their secondary structure includes four short double-helical elements and three loops (D, anti-codon, and T loops). The record is from Rfam by way of RNAcentral. Lineage: Eukaryota; Metazoa; Chordata; Mammalia; Artiodactyla; Camelidae.
GUGGGUGUAGCUCAGUGGCAGAGCGCAUGCUUAGCGUGUAUGAGGUCCUGGGUUCAGUCCCCAGUACCUUCA